Molecule: ribosomal RNA, 254 nt
Filed under: uncultured bacterium
Lineage: Bacteria
Description: partial 16S ribosomal RNA
Rfam family: Bacterial small subunit ribosomal RNA
Source: RNAcentral
UACGUAGGUGACAAGCGUUGUCCGGAUUUACUGGGCGUAAAGAGCGCGCAGGCGGUCGUUCAAGUCGAGUGUGAAAGCCCCCGGCUCAACUGGGGAGGGUCAUUCGAUACUGAUCGACUCGAAGGCAGGAGAGGGAAGUGGAAUUCCCGGUGUAGUGGUGAAAUGCGUAGAUAUCGGGAGGAACACCGGUGGCGAAGGCGGCCUUCUGGACAGUGACUGACGCUGAGACGGCGAAAGCGUGGGGAGCAAACAGG